This 467-nucleotide ribosomal RNA is filed under the name uncultured bacterium. RNAcentral describes it as "partial 16S ribosomal RNA". It matches the Rfam family "Bacterial small subunit ribosomal RNA", at positions 28 to 507 of the family's 1533-position model. The record is from RNAcentral.
GACGAACGCUGGCGGCGUGCUUAACACAUGCAAGUCGAACGGAAAGGCCCUGCUUUUGUGGGGUGCUCGAGUGGCGAACGGGUGAGUAACACGUGAGUAACCUGCCCUUGACUUUGGGAUAACUUCAGGAAACUGGGGCUAAUACCGGAUAGGAGCUCCUGCUGCAUGGUGGGGGUUGGAAAGUUUCGGCGGUUGGGGAUGGACUCGCGGCUUAUCAGCUUGUUGGUGGGGUAGUGGCUUACCAAGGCUUUGACGGGUAGCCGGCCUGAGAGGGUGACCGGCCACAUUGGGACUGAGAUACGGCCCAGACUCCUACGGGAGGAAGAAGUGGGGAAUAUUGCACAAUGGCGGAAGCCUGAUGCAGCAACGCCGCGUGCGGGAUGACGGCCUUCGGGUUGUAAACCGCUUUCGCCUGUGACGAAGCGUGAGUGACGGUAAUGGGUAAAGAAGCACCGGCUAACUACGUG